Molecule: long non-coding RNA, 303 nt
Filed under: Cricetulus griseus (Chinese hamster)
Lineage: Eukaryota; Metazoa; Chordata; Mammalia; Rodentia; Cricetidae
Description: lncRNA (ENSCGRG00015031681.1)
Source: RNAcentral
AGACACUUGAGCAAACUCCUUUAGUAUCUUAUUUUGCAGAUAAUGUGAACCAGGUCUCCCUGGAGACUUUGGCCAUUGGCCCCAGCUCUUCUAGCUCCUGUUACCCUGCCCUUCAUCAUUGAGGCACUAAGACAAAGCACAGUUGGUGUCUUCUGGUGGACUUUUGUAGAAUCAGUUUUGCCAUCUUGAAAUAGGUACGACAUCUAGAAGGAGAGCAAAGCAAAAGCUCUUCCCUGAUGGGGGCCAGGAAGAGGAUGUCUGGGAAGCCAAUUGUAGGCUGUCCUGAAGUCUGUCAAAAUCAAC